This 226-nucleotide ribosomal RNA is filed under the name uncultured bacterium. RNAcentral describes it as "partial 16S ribosomal RNA". It matches the Rfam family "Bacterial small subunit ribosomal RNA", at positions 538 to 763 of the family's 1533-position model. The record is from RNAcentral.
GCGUUGUUCGGAUUUAUUGGGCGUAAAGGGUGCGUAGCUGGCGCGCUAAGUCAGGUGUGAAAUCUCGGGGCUUAACUCCGAAACUGCAUUUGAUACUGGCGUGCUUGAGGACUGGAGAGGAGAGUGGAAUUUACGGUGUAGCAGUGAAAUGCGUAGAGAUCGUAAGGAAGGCCAGUGGCGAAGGCGGGUCUCUGGACAGUUCCUGACACUGAGGCACGAAGGCCAG